CGUAGGUGUGACACUAGUAGGGUUUGUAUCCAAUAAAGGUUAAACAUGUGCAGGUUUUACUGGCGAACAGACAUGAACUUAAGGUGCACCCCUUUUAUCUGGUGGAAGGAGUGCUUUCAACAAGAUGAUCCCUGCAACAUUACACACGAUAUUCAGGGUUGCUUUGAAGACCAUGAUGAAAAGGUGUUGCCCUGACCUCCAGAUUCCCAACUGAGCAUCUGUGGGAUGUGCUGAACCAACAAGUUUGAUCCAUGGCAGCUUCAUCACGCAAGCUACAGGAUCUGCUGCCAGUGGUGCCAGAAAACAGGGCACCUUCACAGUUCUCGUAGAGUCCAUGCCUCACUAGGUCUGCGCUGUUUUGGCAGCAUGCAAAAGACCAACAGCUUAUUAGACAGGUGGUCAUAAUGUGUGCCUCAUCUGUGUAUAAACUGUCAUUAAAGGGUUCACUUCAGC
Molecule: long non-coding RNA, 453 nt
Filed under: Danio rerio (zebrafish)
Lineage: Eukaryota; Metazoa; Chordata; Actinopteri; Cypriniformes; Danionidae
Description: lncRNA si:ch211-194e2.5 (ENSDARG00000103429.2)
Source: RNAcentral